Molecule: long non-coding RNA, 1273 nt
Organism: Homo sapiens (human)
Lineage: Eukaryota; Metazoa; Chordata; Mammalia; Primates; Hominidae
Gene: SERHL
Product: serine hydrolase like (pseudogene)
Source: Ensembl
GGAACAGCCUAGAAGCAGGGCCUGGAACUGCAGGAUACACUCCCCUCCUGCUACCUAGGCAGGCGUGAGGGUGUGACGGCCGCGCAUUCGCCAGACGAGAGCGAUGGCUGAGAACGCCGCACCAGGUCUGAUCUCAGAGCUGAAGCUGGCUGUGCCCUGGGGCCACAUCGCAGCCAAAGCCUGGGGCUCCCUGCAGGGCCCUCCAGUUCUCUGCCUGCACGGCUGGCUGGACAAUGCCAGCUCCUUCGACAGACUCAUCCCUCUUCUCCCGCAAGACUUUUAUUACGUUGCCAUGGAUUUCGGAGGUCAUGGGCUCUCGUCCCAUUACAGCCCAGGUGUCCCAUAUUACCUCCAGACUUUUGUGAGUGAGAUCCGAAGAGUUGUGGCAGCCUUGAAAUGGAAUCGAUUCUCCAUUCUGGGCCACAGCUUCGGAAAUGGAGAACUUGCUGACCUACAAGCGGAGAGCCAUAGAGCACGUGCUGCAGGUAGAGGCCUCCCAGGAGCCCUCGCACGUGUUCAGCCUGAAGCAGCUGCUGCAGAGGCAGAGAACAGCAUUGACUUCGUCAGCAGGGAGCUGUGUGCGCAUUCCAUCAGGAAGCUGCAGGCCCAUGUCCUGUUGAUCAAAGCAGUCCACGGAUAUUUUGAUCCAAGAGAGAAUUACUCUGACAAGGAGUCCCUGUCGUUCAUGAUAGACACAAUGAAAUCCACCCUCAAAGAGGACUACUUCGGAUACAAUCACAGCAACCCUGGCCUCGGCCCUGCCCUGUCCCUGCCAUGCAACUUCACAACUCAGCUGGCCUAGACCCCUGGGAGGCCUCCAAGUCCCUAAGCGGUUCCAGUUUGUGGAAGUCCCAGGCAAUCACUGUGUCCACAUGAGCGAACCCCAGCACGUGGCCAGUAUCAUCAGCUCCUUCUUACAGUGCACACACACGCUCCCAGCCCAGCUGUAGCUCUGGGCCUGGAACUAUGAAGACCUAGUGCUCCCAGACUCAACACUGGGACUCUGAGUUCCUGAGCCCCACAACAAGGCCAGGGAUGGUGGGGACAGGCCUCACUAGUCUUGAGGCCCAGCCUAGGAUGGUAGUCAGGGGAAGGAGCGAGAUUCCAACUUCAACAUCUGUGACCUCAAGGGGGAGACAGAGUCUGGGUUCCAGGGCUGCUGUCUCCUGGCUAAUAAUCUCCAGCCAGCUGGAGGAAGGAAGGGCGGGCUGGGCCCACCUAGCCUUUCCCUGCUGCCCAACUGGAUGGAAAAUAAAAGGUUCUUGUAUUCUCA